GGCUGAGUAGCUCAGUUGGUAGAGUACUUGCCUUGCAUGCACAAAGCCCUGGGUUCAAUCCCCAGCUCUGCAA
This 73-nucleotide transfer RNA is filed under the name Ictidomys tridecemlineatus (thirteen-lined ground squirrel). RNAcentral describes it as "Spermophilus tridecemlineatus (thirteen-lined ground squirrel) tRNA". It matches the Rfam family "tRNA". From Rfam's summary of the family: Transfer RNA (tRNA) molecules are approximately 80 nucleotides in length. Their secondary structure includes four short double-helical elements and three loops (D, anti-codon, and T loops). The record is from Rfam by way of RNAcentral. Lineage: Eukaryota; Metazoa; Chordata; Mammalia; Rodentia; Sciuridae.